RNAcentral lists this ribosomal RNA (253 nucleotides) under uncultured bacterium. RNAcentral describes it as "partial 16S ribosomal RNA". It matches the Rfam family "Bacterial small subunit ribosomal RNA", at positions 524 to 776 of the family's 1533-position model. The record is from RNAcentral.
UACGUAGGGAGCAAGCGUUGUCCGGAAUCAUUGGGCGUAAAGCGCCCGUAGGCGGCCUGACAAGUUGGACGUGAAAGCUCCUGGCUUAACUGGGAGAGGCCGUUCAAAACUGUCAAGCUAGAGUCUGGAAGAGGAGAGCGGAAUUCCCGGUGUAGUGGUGGAAUGCGUAGAGAUCGGGAGGAACACCAGUGGCGAAAGCGGCUCUCUGGUCCAAAACUGACGCUGAGGGGCGAAAGCGUGGGGAGCGAACGGG